This is a long non-coding RNA of Triticum urartu, 1758 nucleotides long. RefSeq lists it as uncharacterized. The record is from RefSeq and is a predicted model, not a curated record. NCBI's taxonomy places the organism in Eukaryota, Viridiplantae, Streptophyta, Magnoliopsida, Poales, Poaceae.
AUCCAUCCAUUCCUCCCUGCCGCCAUUACCUCCACCUGGUCUCCCUCUCCCUCAGGAUCUUCCCAGAUCUACCUCACAGCCAGCCGACCAGCCUCCUUCCUCCUAGGAUCAGCCGCAGCCGCCACCCAUCAAAUCCAUCCACCCAUUUGCCAGAUCCACCUCAUUUUGCCCAUCCACCCAACUAGCAGCCUCCACCUCUCCUCCUGAUUCUCCUCCAUCGAUCCAACCAGUGAGGCCGCCGGUAGCAGCAGCUGCACCCUCGCGCUCCCAUUCCUCCUCCUCCGGACCUCCCUCGACGCCGAGCACUAGCAGGAACUGCUCGUCGAGCCCCUUGUUUUCCUUUCUCUUUCAUUCCCUUGUUUUUGCUCUUCUCUGAGUGUGUUUUCUCCCUCUCUCUCAUGCACAUGAGACCUUUAGGAGCCAGGGAAGCCAUGGCCUGACCUCGACCCCACCGCUGCCGCCUCUCACCCGCGCAACCUCGUCGCAAAACGGAGCCCCGACGACCCUCCGAUGAGCCACCACCCGGAUCCACCCAGUGCCAUCUUCUUUUCCUUCCGGAGCUCCUCCCGUACGUCUCAUCCCUCUCCUUUGUUCUCUGUAACAGCUCCAUGGCCGCCGGAUUCUCAAGCGGCCACCAGGAACCGCUCCUUCGCCAUGCGUUCCUCGCCACCAACCGAAGCUCCGACGGGCUCUCGCUGGACCUCGAUCAGGACCUCGCCGUCGAUGCCCCAUUCUUCUCUUCUCUCCUCCCGCUUGCCUUUCAGUGAGCUUCUCUGACCCUGCUGCGACGCCCUCUACAGGUCGACAUCUCCGCCUUGGAUCUGCCCCAAGCUCCGCCAUUCCCGCAGCAGACCCGGGACCCAUGGACCCGCAGCUCCACCGGCUACUUCGACGGAGUCCCCAUUGCCGGCCCCUGCUUCCACUGCAUUGGGAAGCUGCAGCUCGGGCAGAGAACAACGCCUCUGUCUCGAGUCAUUUGGUCGCUUGCCUGCGCCUGAACCACGCCCCCCUUCGCCCGUUCAUGGGCCUAGCAGCCCCGCUUCAGCCUAGCUCCUCUUCCGCCCGAGCUGCCCGGCCUCUCCACCGACCUAGGCUUGGCCCAUGCAUCCCAAGGCCAUCCCCAUGGACCCAACUACAUCUCCUUCAACACCUCUUGGACCCAUGACACAAGCAUGUGCAAGAGCUCUUGAAACCGAGGUGACAUCUCUCCUCUCACAUUUCCACUUUGAUGCACACGAGACAUGGCUAUUACCUCAUACGGAUACUUUGUGCAUGCUCAGGUACCAUGGAGAAGCUAAGGAGCAAGGAGAAGAAGAAGAGGAAGAUGGACAUGAAGACGAAGACGAAGAAGAAGAAUCACUCCAAGUUCCCAGGCUCCGGACGACCGACGGACACCGGACGUCCGACGACCUCGAGGCCCCGGACAUCCGGCCCCCUCCGGACGACCGACGCUCCCACACCUGAGACGAAACCUACGGAUUUCCAGAGCCCCUCGGACGAAUGACGACGCCUGGACGUUCGACCCCGACCGGACGUCCGACCGAAAACCACCCGAGCCGAAACUACGGACGUCCGACAGGCACCAGACGUCCGGACCCUCGCGAGCCUCCGGACGACCAGUUACCCCCGGACAUCCGACGCAUGUGUGCUGAUUCGUGUUGGGCGGCAGCCCAUGUACCCCAUCACCCCGUCUUUUGCAUUAAGACUAUAUAUACUCCACCUAUUCCUUCUUUCUAGGGUUAGCAAAGGAUUAGCUCA